UAGAGUUUGAUCAUGGCUCAGAUUGAACGCUGGCGGCAGGCCUAACACAUGCAAGUCGAGCGGAAACGAGUUAUCUGAACCUUCGGGGAACGAUAACGGCGUCGAGCGGCGGACGGGUGAGUAAUGCCUAGGAAAUUGCCCUGAUGUGGGGGAUAACCAAUGGAAACGAUGGCUAAUACCGCAUAAUGCCUACGGGCCAAAGAGGGGGACCUUCGGGCCUCUCGCGUCAGGAUAUGCCUAGGUGGGAUUGGCUAGUUGGUGAGGUAAUGGCUCACCAAGGCGACGAUCCCUAGCUGGUCUGAGAGGAUGAUCAGCCACACUGGAACUGAGACACGGUCCAGACUCCUACGGGAGGCAGCAGUGGGGAAUAUUGCACAAUGGGCGCAAGCCUGAUGCAGCCAUGCCGCGUGUGUGAAGAAGGCCUUCGGGUUGUAAAGCACUUUCAGUCGUGAGGAAGGUAGUGUAGUUAAUAGCUGCAUUAUUUGACGUUAGCGACAGAAGAAGCACCGGCUAACUCCGUGCCAGCAGCCGCGGUAAUACGGAGGGUGCGAGCGUUAAUCGGAAUUACUGGGCGUAAAGCGCAUGCAGGUGGUUUGUUAAGUCAGAUGUGAAAGCCCGGGGCUCAGCCUCGGAAUUGCAUCUGAAACUGGCAGAUUAGAGUACUGUAGAGGGGGGUAGAAUUUCAGGUGUAGCGGUGAAAUGCGUAGAGAUCUGAAGGAAUACCGGUGGCGAAGGUGGCCCCCUGGACAGAUACUGACACUCAGAUGCGAAAGC
This 774-nucleotide ribosomal RNA is filed under the name uncultured bacterium. RNAcentral's name for it is "bacterial SSU rRNA". It matches the Rfam family "Bacterial small subunit ribosomal RNA", at positions 1 to 760 of the family's 1533-position model. The record is from RNAcentral.